AGUCAAGUAAUUAAGUGCAUGUGGUGGAUGCCUUGGCAGUCAGAGGCGAUGAAAGACGUGAUAGCCUGCGAAAAGCUCCGGGGAGGCGGC
Molecule: ribosomal RNA, 90 nt
Filed under: Acinetobacter baumannii
Lineage: Bacteria; Pseudomonadati; Pseudomonadota; Gammaproteobacteria; Moraxellales; Moraxellaceae
Description: partial 23S ribosomal RNA
Rfam family: Bacterial large subunit ribosomal RNA
Source: RNAcentral